RNAcentral lists this transfer-messenger RNA (370 nucleotides) under Candidatus Riesia pediculischaeffi. RNAcentral describes it as "Riesia pediculischaeffi Standard tmRNA". It matches the Rfam family "transfer-messenger RNA". Rfam says of the family: Bacterial tmRNA, also known as 10Sa RNA or SsrA, is named for its dual tRNA and mRNA-like properties. The record is from Rfam by way of RNAcentral. Lineage: Bacteria; Pseudomonadati; Pseudomonadota; Gammaproteobacteria; Enterobacterales; Enterobacteriaceae.
GGGGCUGAAUAGGGUUCGACGAAAUUUAUUGAUCUUGUAACAGCAUGUCGAGUGGAUUUCUCGUUUAAAAAUCCGAAAAAAUAGUUGCAAACACAAAAAAGUACACGUACGCGCAAGCAGCUUAACUAUUCUUUAAGAGUAGUGUAGUUUUCGUGUCCUACUUAUCUUUCUCUUCGAAAAGUAGGGGUCAAGAAGAAGGGAUCGCAUACAGUUUUUCUUAUCGUUCUGAUAUGCAAAAAUUAGAUAAGAUAGUCAGAUGUUUCAGAAAAGUUUACUUAAGUACUUCUGAUAAAUAAAUCAGUAAACUAAACAUGUAGAAGUAAAAAGUGAAAAGUUUCGGACGCGGGUUCAAAUCCCGCCAGCUCCAUGA